UACAGAGGGUGCGAGCGUUGUCCGGAAUCACUGGGCGUAAAGGGCGCGUAGGUGGUUUGAUAAGGGUGUGGUGAAAGUCCGGGGCUCAACCCCGGAUCUGCCGUGCCGACUGUCAAACUCGAGGGCUGUAGAGGCAGACGGAAUUCCGGGUGUAGCGGUGGAAUGCGUAGAGAUCUGGAAGAACACCAAAGGCGAAGGCAGCAUCCUGGGAAGUUCCUGACGCUCGGGUGCGAAAGCCAGGGGAGCGAACGGG
Molecule: ribosomal RNA, 253 nt
Filed under: uncultured bacterium
Lineage: Bacteria
Description: partial 16S ribosomal RNA
Rfam family: Bacterial small subunit ribosomal RNA
Source: RNAcentral